RNAcentral lists this long non-coding RNA (297 nucleotides) under Glycine max (soybean). Its description in RNAcentral is "long non-coding RNA (GMAX_LNC003866)". Lineage: Eukaryota; Viridiplantae; Streptophyta; Magnoliopsida; Fabales; Fabaceae. The record is from RNAcentral.
UUAAAAUGAGUUAUAAGGGAUAGGCAUUACCCACACAAGAUCCAUGUGGGCGGUAUUUCACGUGCAAGGCACUGCCACACGUACCAACAGACAGCACCAAGAUAAUUAUGGCGUUGCCGUCCAACCAUUGGAGCAACAUGCAACAUGGAAAAAUAGCAAUCCCACUGUUACAAAUUAAGAGUGGCCAAUCAAACACGCAAUCCCUUUUGUGGAUCGCCAUUCCCUUGUACCUUCUUCCUACCACUAAAAAAAACAAGUAAACAAUUAAUGUGUGAUGGCCAAAAAUUAAUACCAGAC